AUGUCCUCCACCUAUUCCGCAGCUAUAAGACUCUGGUGUUUGCCCUCCUUGAUUCUUCCAGGUGCUGCCCACCCUGUUUUUCUCCCCAUUCUGAGUCCUGAGAUUGGCCACUACCGAGCUGAGAUAAGGGAGCUGGAGGAGGGGAACCUGGCUUUCAUUGUUCACUGCUCUCUCUCUCUCUCUCCUCACUGCUCUCACUCCUCACUGCUCUCUCUCCUCACUGCUCUCACUCCUCACUGCUCUCUCUCCUCACUGCUCUCUCUCCUCACUGCUCUCUCUCCUGUCUGCUCUCUACCUCCUCACUGCUCUCACUCCUCACUGCUCUCUCCUCACUGCUCUCUCUCCUCACUGCUCUCAUUCCUCACUGCUCUCACUCCUGUCUGCUCUCUCUCUCCUCACUGCUCUCACUCCUCACUGCUCUCACUCCUCACUGCUCUAACUCCUGUCUGCUCUCUAUCUCCUCACUGCUCUCACUCCUGCCUGCUCUCUCUCCUCACUGCUCUCACUCCUCACUGCUCUCUCAAUCCUCACUGCUCUCACUCCUCACUGCUCUCUCUCCUCACUGCUCUCACUCCUGUCUGCUCUCUAUCUCCUCACUGCUCUCACUCCGGCCUGCUCUCUCUCCUCACUGCUCUCACUCCUCACUGCUCUCUCUCCUCACUGCUCUCACUCCUCACUGCUCUCACUCCACACGGCUCUCACCCUCAUUGCUCUCCUUACACCUCUCACUCCUCACUGCUAUCUUCUCACUGCAAUCUCCUCACUGCUCUCUCUCUCCUCACUGCUCUCAUUCCUCACUGCUCUCCUUACUGCUCUCACUCCUCACUGCUAUCUCCUAACUGCAAUCCCCUCACUGCUCUCACUCGUCACUGCUCUCACGCCUCACUGCUCCCACUUCUCACUGCUCUCACUCCUCACUGCUCCCACUCCUCACUGCUCCCACUCCUCACUGCUCUCACUCCUCAUUGCUCUCACUCCUCACUGCUCCCACUCCUCACUGCUCCCACUCCUCACUGCUCUCACUCCUCACUGCUCCCACUCCUUACUGCUCUCACUCCUCACUGCUCUCACUCCUCACUGAUCUCACUCCUCACUGCUCUCUCUCUCCUCACUGCUCCCACUCCUCACGGCUCUCUCUCUCCUCACUGCUCUCACUCCUCACUGCUCUCACUCCUCACUGCUCUCACUCCUCACUGCUAUCUCCUCACUGCUCUCACUCCUCACUGCUCUCACUCCUCAUGCUCUCACUCCUCACUGCUCUCACUCCUCACUGCUAUCUCCUCACUGCUCUCACUCCUCACUGCUCUCACUCCUCACUGA
This 1320-nucleotide long non-coding RNA is filed under the name Callithrix jacchus (white-tufted-ear marmoset). Its description in RNAcentral is "lncRNA (ENSCJAG00000072350.1)". The record is from RNAcentral. Lineage: Eukaryota; Metazoa; Chordata; Mammalia; Primates; Cebidae.